RNAcentral lists this ribosomal RNA (484 nucleotides) under uncultured bacterium. Its description in RNAcentral is "partial 16S ribosomal RNA". It matches the Rfam family "Bacterial small subunit ribosomal RNA", at positions 30 to 507 of the family's 1533-position model. The record is from RNAcentral.
AUUGAACGCUGGCGGCAGGCCUAACACAUGCAAGUCGAGCGGAUGAAGGGAGCUUGCUCCUGGAUUCAGCGGCGGACGGGUGAGUAAUGCCUAGGAAUCUGCCUGGUAGUGGGGGAUAACGUCCGGAAACGGGCGCUAAUACCGCAUACGUCCUGAGGGAGAAAGUGGGGGAUCUUCGGACCUCACGCUAUCAGAUGAGCCUAGGUCGGAUUAGCUAGUUGGUGGGGUAAAGGCCUACCAAGGCGACGAUCCGUAACUGGUCUGAGAGGAUGAUCAGUCACACUGGAACUGAGACACGGUCCAGACUCCUACGGGAGGCAGCAGUGGGGAAUAUUGGACAAUGGGCGAAAGCCUGAUCCAGCCAUGCCGCGUGAGUGAAGAAGGUCUUCGGAUUGUAAAACUCUUUAAGUUGGGAGGAAGGGAAGUAAGUUUAUCCCUUGCUGUUUUGACGUUACCAACAGAAUAAGCCCCGGCUAACUUCGUG